AUGACCCAAAAGCGUGGGGUUUUUACCUCCCCACUGUCAAAAAGCCCAGAAAAUGGGACCCCGCUGCGAUGCCCGGGGGGGCCUGAAAUCGCCCUAAAUUACCCCAAAAUCCACGUUUCCCCCCCCGGGCCAGGUUUUCUUUUCCUGAGAGAACGUCGUUGUCUCAGGUUUUGCUUUUCUCCUGUGGGCCCCCCAAAAAAAAACCCAAAAAAGUUUAAAAAAACGGCCAAAGAAAAAAAGCAAAAGGCGCCGGUGGCGGCACUCCGGUGGCGGACGGGGUUCGAGUCCCCGCGGCGCCUGCUGCUGGCCGGGGCAUGUCACGAUAGGAAGGGGUUAUAUUGCGAUAGGAGGGGUUAUAUCGCGACAGGAGGGGGGUUAUAUAACGACAGGAGGGGUUAUAUCGCAACAGGAGGGGGUUAUAUCGCGACAGGAAGGGGUCAUAUCGCGAUAGGAGGGGCGUGUCGCGACAGGAGGGUAUUUUGGGGGAGCCUUUACACGCCCCCAUUGAACCGUUUAGACGAAAAACCGACCCAAAACCAGAGGCGUCCCCAAAACCAAGUCAGCCAGUGACCCCCCCCCCCCCAAAAUCCCCUAAAUUUCCCUCUAUUUUGGGGCAUUUCGCUUGAAAAAAAACUUAAAAUGAGCUCCGAGGGGCUCCGCGGCCAGGCAAACUGCGGGAAAAAGCCCCAAAAAUAUCCCAAAGCGGCCCCGACCCCCCCAAAAAAAAGGUGCCGCUGUUUUUGGGGUCAGCGCGGCCCCCCCUAAACCCUGCCCCCCUUGUUUACCCCCAGAUUUGAUGAGAUUUUAUGAGAUUUGAUAAUAAUUUGGUGACAUUUGAUGAUAUUUGAUGAUAUUUGGUGAUAUUUGAUAAUAAUUUGAUGAAAUCUGAUAAAAUUUGAGCUAAUUUUUUGAGCCCCUCACCCCCAGAGCCGCGUGCAAUAAAGGCGCCCGCUGCCACACCCGGUGCUGUACUUUAACAGAUUCUGCGAGUUCUUACCCCAAAACGACGGGCUUACUGGGCUCAACCCCAGAGGCUCCGACCCAGCUGCAAAACACGGAAAAUUGGAAAAACGAAGAAUUGACCCCAAAAUGACACCCACGGCUCCUGAACCAGCAGGGACAGAGAAGGACCUGGUCCCUGGGGGUACUG
This 1150-nucleotide long non-coding RNA is filed under the name Anas zonorhyncha (Eastern spot-billed duck). The record is from RNAcentral. Lineage: Eukaryota; Metazoa; Chordata; Aves; Anseriformes; Anatidae.